Molecule: ribosomal RNA, 424 nt
Filed under: uncultured bacterium
Lineage: Bacteria
Description: bacterial SSU rRNA
Rfam family: Bacterial small subunit ribosomal RNA
Source: RNAcentral
UGGGGAAUCUUGCACAAUGGGGGAAACCCUGAUGCAGCGACGCCGCGUGAGCGAUGAAGCCCUUCGGGGUGUAAAGCUCUUUCGACGGGAACGAUAAUGACGGUACCCGGAGAAGAAGCUGCGGCUAACUACGUGCCAGCAGCCGCGGUAAUACGUAGGCAGCAAGCGUUGUUCGGAAUUACUGGGCGUAAAGAGUGUGUAGGCGGUUCGCCAAGUUUGGUGUGAAAUCUCCCGGCUUAACUGGGAGGGUGCGCCGAAAACUGGCGGGCUUGAGGGUGGGAGAGGUAAGCGGAAUUUCUGGUGUAGCGGUGAAAUGCGUAGAUAUCAGAAGGAACACCUGUGGUGUAGACAGCUUACUGGACCACUUCUGACGCUGAGACACGAAAGCGUGGGUAGCAAACAGGAUUAGAUACCCCCGUAGUCC